GUCAGUUGUGUGCACCUCCCUAAGUGGGAACCCUUCACCGCUUGGUCAUGUGUGGGCUGAGCUGCUUUAUUUAAGGGUAUUGUAUGCUGGUCAAGGUCAAGGUCAAGGUAAGUCCAGUUACCAUAGGGAACAACUCAGAUUUCCAAAAGAUCUCAAUCAAGGCUUGCUUCUCUGUCUUCAUGUCUUUGUCUUCCCUGAGAGCCAUCUUCCCUCCACCAGAUUCCUGAGGCUUCCUGAGGGUAUGACUGUGUGUUCCCUCAGAGUGGGAUUCUCUGUCCUCUAACCCUGCCAGGGGGCCAUGGUGCUUGAUCCCUUGCUGGCCCCAGCCUCCCUUUCAGCUAGCUCCCUUCCUCUACCUGCCCUGCUUGGGGGUCCAGCUAUGUGGGCCUACACUUUGUUUUCAGAGUCCAGCCUUUACUUUCUCUGCACCCGCGUCUUUGCUUGUGCAGUUGCCCGCUCCCUCACCCCUAAGAAUGGCCACCUUCUAUGCUUUAGGACUUAUCUGAAAUACCCUUCCACCGUGACCCCUUC
Molecule: long non-coding RNA, 531 nt
Filed under: Homo sapiens (human)
Lineage: Eukaryota; Metazoa; Chordata; Mammalia; Primates; Hominidae
Description: lncAB55.1
Source: RNAcentral